Terrapene triunguis (Three-toed box turtle) is the source of this 155-nucleotide long non-coding RNA. RefSeq lists it as uncharacterized. The record is from RefSeq and is a predicted model, not a curated record. The transcript has 4 exons. NCBI's taxonomy places the organism in Eukaryota, Metazoa, Chordata, Testudines, Emydidae.
CUGUGAAUACACCCCCAACUCCACCAGCGCAGGUGACGCCAGCCCCCGGGGCCCCCCUUCGCCCUGCCCCAGCUCCAGCCAUGGGAAGACCCUGCUGCACAGUGUGAAACCCCCGGGUUUUCUGGCGUCUCCCCAGAAGAAGGCCUCCAGCUCCC